UACGGAGGGUGCAAGCGUUAUCCGGAUUCACUGGGUUUAAAGGGUGCGUAGGUGGGUUUGUAAGUCAGUGGUGAAAUCUCCAAGCUUAACUUGGAACUGCCGUUGAUACUAUAAAUCUUGAAUGUUGUGGAGGUGAGCGGAAUAUGUCAUGUAGCGGUGAAAUGCUUAGAUAUGACAUAGAACACCAAUUGCGAAGGCAGCUCACUACACAAAGAUUGACACUGAGGCACGAAAGCGUGGGGAUCAA
This 247-nucleotide ribosomal RNA is filed under the name uncultured bacterium. RNAcentral describes it as "partial 16S ribosomal RNA". It matches the Rfam family "Bacterial small subunit ribosomal RNA", at positions 524 to 771 of the family's 1533-position model. The record is from RNAcentral.